Molecule: non-coding RNA, 125 nt
Organism: Mus musculus (house mouse)
Lineage: Eukaryota; Metazoa; Chordata; Mammalia; Rodentia; Muridae
Source: Rfam
UACAUCUCCACAGAUGUUGCAGGUGUGGCUGCUGUGUCACUUGUGCAUCAGUAGGUGACAGAGAGGAGAGAGGCUAUAUCUAUGCUCUGAUCUGUGAACAACUGACUGAACAACAUUCUCUGAAG